Long non-coding RNA from Sitophilus oryzae (rice weevil), 634 nucleotides. RefSeq lists it as uncharacterized. The transcript has 2 exons. The record is from RefSeq and is a predicted model, not a curated record. NCBI's taxonomy places the organism in Eukaryota, Metazoa, Arthropoda, Insecta, Coleoptera, Curculionidae.
ACCAUAAACUCUCGAAAGCCCAAGUUAUCGAAAACCCGAACGCAAGCGAACGGUAAACCGAAUGGUCCCGAUUAGAAGUUAUCGAAUCUCGGCUCCUCCCCUCGUUAUUUGUAUUUUAAAUUGUAAACAAAAGUCAACGCAAUUUGUUUUUGGUGGAAAUAUACACUUAAAAUACUUUAAAAUGUAAAGUUAUCUUGCAAAAUUAGAACCUGAAAGCCUAGAAAUGCGGAAUCGGUACAAACCAAAAAUUUAACUUGUGAAUAACAUAGAAAAUAGAAGCCCUUAGUUUUGAUAUUUAUUUUAAAUGCUAGCCCAGACUGCCCAGUGGAGUUUUCAAAGAUAUAAGAAACACGGAAAUUAUUAGUAGUGUUCACCAUGAAUUCUUACAAAUUUCCAGAAAUUGAAAGGAAAUAGGAGGCGUGUGUUAAGCAAGAUUUUGUAGUGAUUAUGGAAGCCUAAAGUUGCAGGCCAUAUCCUUAUCAAAGCAAAAAGUCAAAAAUCUACAGCGUAUGAAUAGUAUGUAAACCUGAAGCCUGCAGCUGAGAUUGUGUUAGAAAGGGUUUCAACAUCAAACUAUACUGAACUCUAACCCUGAAAAUGUUAAUACAAAUCCAAAGCAAUUAUCAGCAUGGCA